UACAGAGGUCCCAAGCGUUGUUCGGAUUCAUUGGGCGUAAAGGGUGCGUAGGCGGGUCUUUAAGUCAGGGGUGAAAUCCUGGAGCUCAACUCCAGAACUGCCUUUGAUACUGAAGAUCUUGAGUUCGAGAGAGGUGAGUGGAACUGCGAGUGUAGAGGUGAAAUUCGUAGAUAUUCGCAAGAACACCAGUGGCGAAGGCGGCUCACUGGCCCGAUACUGACGCUGAGGCACGAAAGCGUGGGGAGCAAACAGG
This 253-nucleotide ribosomal RNA is filed under the name uncultured bacterium. RNAcentral's name for it is "partial 16S ribosomal RNA". It matches the Rfam family "Bacterial small subunit ribosomal RNA", at positions 524 to 776 of the family's 1533-position model. The record is from RNAcentral.